ACCUCGCUAGUGCUCGGCUCGUAACACGUUCAAUGCGAGUUCGAUGUCCAGUAUGAAUUUGGUCUAGUGUAUUAAAGAGGAGGAGUAUUAAGAAUAAAAUUGACAAUGACAGCCAUCUGUGGACUCAACAUAGCGGCUCAAUUCUUCCACUACCAUCGAUAGCUGUGCACAUUAUAGUCUAAUUUAACGUAAUUGCACAGUGAAAAAUCCUAUCAGUCUCAAAUCGCAGUGCUACAUUUAUGAUAUGCAGACCGCGUCAAACCUUGCCGUACAGAUGUAUAGCUUCAAGGCUAAUCCCGCCGCAGCUAAAAGGUUAAUAAAUCAAUCACGAUUGUUUAUACCUGAUAUCUUAUAAUGAUCUUGAAGAAGUAAUUUACCAAGCACGUUUCAAUAUUACGAUAAAAAUGUUGAUUGAAAAUAACUGAAGAGAAAGAAACGACGUGUUAUGUACACCCCAUGAAUUCAGAUCUUUCAAUCAAAAUCAAAUCAGAUCGGCAUAGAUAAGCGGGUAAAGGUAUAAAGGAUGUUAUUACGGGCAAGUAUAAUUCUCGUUUAAUUUCCUGAUCCUAGUUGAUCCGCAAAACAGAGCAGCUCGCGUUAAAGUGGUUCACUAUCGUAUACUUUUUAUCCUUCCUCUGAUCUUAAUUAAUUUCAGUUGCCUAUUAGUCGACUUAAGAGGUGACCUCGGUAAGCAGAUAUUGCGUCAGUAUUUCUCGUGAUGGAAGACGAUGAAUCAGCUAUUUGACCGGUCCGCGAAUCAAAAGAUCAGUGGUUCCGUUUUACCAACGUGAGAAGACAAAGCAUAAUUGUAUUGAAAUAUACGACUUGUAUAAUGGAAAGACAUUGCAAAAUCUCAAGGUUUAAGUCUUUUUUUGCAUUCAUA
Molecule: non-coding RNA, 883 nt
Organism: Nomia melanderi (Alkali bee)
Lineage: Eukaryota; Metazoa; Arthropoda; Insecta; Hymenoptera; Halictidae
Source: RefSeq, a predicted model, not a curated record